Molecule: unclassified non-coding RNA, 730 nt
Filed under: Hevea brasiliensis (rubber tree)
Lineage: Eukaryota; Viridiplantae; Streptophyta; Magnoliopsida; Malpighiales; Euphorbiaceae
Source: RNAcentral
GGAUUUACCAUUCUGGUGUGCAAGGUUUGAAAUAUUUUCUUUCUUUUUUUCUGUUUUUUUCAAUUUGGUGUUUCUGUUCCGAUUCCAUUUUUGUUUCGUUCGUUUUUUAGUUUUUUUUGUUUGUUUGUUAUUAUGAUGAUUUUCUUCUCUCAGAUCUGCUUCUGAAACCAGCUUGUUUCAGGGGUUGGCUUCAGGGAAACCGAAAGGAAAUUCAUUGUUUAUUUUGAGGAUUAUUAAUUGCUAUUUGCCUUAUUUUCUUUGUAUUUCAUGGCUGAGUGCAGAAAAUUUUUGAGACUGAUGGAAACGUAAUCUAUUCACACAUCACACAGUAUAUAUAUUUUUUAUCUAUAAAAAGGGGAAAAUUCGCUGUGGUCAAUGAUAGUUUGCUAAUUUAUUUUGUUUAAUAAUUAUUGAUCCUCUGCUUAGCUUUGGUUGCUGAGAUUGGUGGCAAAAGAAUUGAAAUUAGGCCAACGAGUGUUACUAUUAAAUAUUAUUUUAAAGCAAUUUGUUUUGUACCUGUAAAAUAUAAUGUUACCAUCCAGCUCAAAUAAAUUAGUGGGUUUUAAAUUGUUAAGCAGGUUCACAAACUUCACGCGAAUUGUUUUGAUUGGCUUUCUUAUCCCCUAUUUCGCGUGUAGCUUCUUCUAAAUUAAUCAUAAGUUGGGUUUUUUAAGCUGAGAUGUUUUCUGUGAUUUUGUGCUUCUGUAGUUCAUGGUGUGGAAUAUGGUUU